RNAcentral lists this ribosomal RNA (253 nucleotides) under uncultured bacterium. RNAcentral describes it as "partial 16S ribosomal RNA". It matches the Rfam family "Bacterial small subunit ribosomal RNA", at positions 524 to 776 of the family's 1533-position model. The record is from RNAcentral.
UACGUAGGGUGCGAGCGUUAAUCGGAAUUACUGGGCGUAAAGCGUGCGCAGGCGGUUCGUUGUGUCGGUGGUGAAAUCCCCGGGCUCAACCCGGGAAGUGCACUCGAAACUGCGAGGCUAGAGUACUGGAGAGGUUGGUGGAAUUCUCGGUGUAGAGGUGAAAUUCGUAGAUAUCGAGAGGAACACCGGUGGCGAAGGCGGCCAACUGGACAGAUACUGACGCUGAGACACGAAAGCGUGGGGAGCAAACAGG